AUUGAACGCUGGCGGCAGGCCUAACACAUGCAAGUCGAGCGGAUGAAGGGAGCUUGCUCCUGGAUUCAGCGGCGGACGGGUGAGUAAUGCCUAGGAAUCUGCCUGGUAGUGGGGGAUAACGUCCGGAAACGGGCGCUAAUACCGCAUACGUCCUGAGGGAGAAAGUGGGGGAUCUUCGGACCUCACGCUAUCAGAUGAGCCUAGGUCGGAUUAGCUAGUUGGUGGGGUACAGGCCUACCAAGGCGACGAUCCGUAACUGGUCUGAGAGGAUGAUCAGUCACACUGGGACUGAGACACGGUCCAGACUCCUACGGGAGGCAGCAGUGGGGAAUAUUGGACAAUGGGCGAAAGCCUGAUCCAGCCAUGCCGCGUGUGUGAAGAAGGUCUUCGGAUUGUAAAGCACUUUAAGUUGGGAGGGAGGGCAGUAAGUUAAUACCUUGCUGUUUUGACGUUACCAACAGAAUAAGCACCGGCUAACUUCGUG
This 484-nucleotide ribosomal RNA is filed under the name uncultured bacterium. Its description in RNAcentral is "partial 16S ribosomal RNA". It matches the Rfam family "Bacterial small subunit ribosomal RNA", at positions 30 to 507 of the family's 1533-position model. The record is from RNAcentral.